CGCGCAUCCUCCAACCAGUUUCUUUCAGUAGGUAUGCAUUCUAUGUUGUAACUCAGUCUUCAUAAAUGUAAUUCAAAUUAUGGUUUAUGGAUGGGGUUAAGUUAUGGUUGUGUGUUCUUUUCACACGGUAUACAGUUUUCGUCUGUAUGUCGGGAAAUGGCACUUUAAGAGGAAAGGUUCAUCUGUAUCGCUCAACGAAGUAUCUAGAUUGUCCGAUCUAGCAUUUGUCUCACAAAAGAGGUCAGCGAACCAUUACACCCGUAAAUUUGGCAGUCGAUCUUAAUUUUCAAAAGAAUGACUCACAAUACAAUAUGUAAACUAUCUAAAUGAAGAAAUUGCAUUAGUUUUAUUAUUCACUUAUAUUCUCCGAAAGAUAAUAUAGAGUUAUCGACCAACUAACAUGUGGAGAAACACUAAAUGGGAGUGACUUGUCGGUGUACAACAUAAAAUUAGAAUAUGAAAUUCUAGCAAUCUCUUUAUGGAUUAAAUGUUGGCACGAGGGAAAUCCAGGCUACAGCAUAAUAAAGUAUAAUAAAAUUAGAGCUGGUGGCGGAACAAAGGUGAAAUAUGAAAUGAUGAUGCAUGAACAUGUCGCAUAAAAAUAAAGAAGUUAGCCGCGUAUCGCAAUAUUGCAUAAUUCUUUGUUCCAUACAAAAAGAAUUCACUAUUCUUCAUGUGACGGUGAAAUACAUUUAAAUUUGAAAAGCUGUUGCGUAAAAAUGUUCGAUAAUUGUCAGAGAAAUGUUCGUGAAUAUCAAAUAUAAAUCGAAAUUUACUUUAUGAAAUAAAAUGUAAUUAUUAAAUAUAACAAAAAGCGAAAUAAAAGCUUGAUAAAAUUGAAUACCACCGGCUGCAAAAACAUAUCGCAAAAAUGAUAAAAGAGAAGAAUGAGUUAGAUUAGUUUUCUUCAAAAAUUCUAAAAUUUUCCUUGCCUAUAUUAUGUCAGUUUACUAAUGUUUGAUCAGUGAUCGGAUCAAACUUUUAACUAAAAUGCAUUUUGAAAUAUUCGGAUUUAUCAACGGCAGGGAUGAUAUUAACAGUUUCGAAAGAGAUUCAGCCUGAUAAAUACCCUUAUAUUUGCAUUAUAAUGGCCUUCGUAAAUAUC
This is a long non-coding RNA of Bombus pyrosoma, 1105 nucleotides long. RefSeq lists it as uncharacterized. Lineage: Eukaryota; Metazoa; Arthropoda; Insecta; Hymenoptera; Apidae. The transcript has 3 exons. The record is from RefSeq and is a predicted model, not a curated record.